This 460-nucleotide ribosomal RNA is filed under the name uncultured bacterium. RNAcentral describes it as "partial 16S ribosomal RNA". It matches the Rfam family "Bacterial small subunit ribosomal RNA", at positions 338 to 795 of the family's 1533-position model. The record is from RNAcentral.
CCUACGGGAGGCAGCAGUGAGGAAUAUUGGUCAAUGGGCGCAAGCCUGAACCAGCCAUGCCGCGUGCAGGAUGACGGCUCUAUGAGUUGUAAACUUCUCUUAUACAAGGGUAAACUCAGGUACGUGUAUCUGUAUGAAAGUAUCGUACGAAUCAGGAUCGGCUAACUCCGUGCCAGCAGCCGCGGUAAUACGGAGGAUUCGAGCGUUAUCCGGAUUUAUUGGGUUUAAAGGGUGCGUAGGAGGGGGGAUAAGUUAGUGGUGAAAACCUGAGGCUCAACUUUGGAAAUGCCUUUGAUACUGUUCGGCUAGAGAGUAGUUGAGGUAGGCGGAAUGCAUGGUGUAGCGGUGAAAUGCUUAGAGAUCAUGAAGAACACCGAUUGCGAAGGCAGCUUACUAAGCUACCACUGACGUUGAGGCACGAAAGCGUGGGGAGCAAACAGGAUUAGAUACCCGAGUAGUC